CCUACGGGUGGCAGCAGUCGAGAAUCAUUCACAAUGGGGGAAACCCUGAUGGUGCGACGCCGCGUGGGGGAAUGAAGGUCUUCGGAUUGUAAACCCCUGUCAUGUGGGAGCAAAUUAAAAAGAUAGUACCACAAGAGGAAGAGACGGCUAACUCUGUGCCAGCAGCCGCGGUAAUACAGAGGUCGCAAGCGUUGUUCGGAAUCACUGGGCGUAAAGCGUGCGUAGGCUGUUUCGUAAGUCGUGUGUGAAAGGCGCGGGCUCAACCCGCGGACGGCACAUGAUACUGCGAGACUAGAGUAAGGGAGGGGGAACCGGAAUUCUCGGUGUAGCAGUGAAAUGCGUAGAUAUCGAGAGGAACACUCGUGGCGAAGGCGGGUUCCUGGACAUUAACUGACGCUGAGGAACGAAGGCCAGGGGAGCGAAAGGGAUUAGAUACCCUGGUAGUC
RNAcentral lists this ribosomal RNA (446 nucleotides) under uncultured bacterium. RNAcentral's name for it is "partial 16S ribosomal RNA". It matches the Rfam family "Bacterial small subunit ribosomal RNA", at positions 338 to 795 of the family's 1533-position model. The record is from RNAcentral.